AUAGGAGAAAAGAACGAGAGUGCACAGUGACCCAGAGAGACUAGAGCAGUGGAUGGUACAGGCAAGGAGGAAGUCCCAUGUCCAAGGACAAAGAGUAGAUGGCACCCAUACACAAUGUGGCCCUCAGAGACUCCACAUCGAGAUUGUGCUAGGUGCUGUACAGACAUAUUGUGAAAGAUCAUCUCUUCUCCCAAAACUACAAACUUGAUUUAGAAAGAUGAAACAGCUAAACCAUUCAUCAGUAAUGCCAGAGAGAUGAAAGACUCCCUCAGUCUGCUGCUGGGAGAGUGACAGAUUUCAUUGUAAACUUUUGGUGAGGCCAUUCAUGGCAUUCUUUCAACAUAUUCUGUACAUCUCACUCCCAAUCAGAACCAACUGCAAAACCUGAAAUGGAUCAAACUGCUGUAGAAGACAAGGGAGAGGACACAGCAAUCAAGAGCUCCACAUUAAGAACUGCCCAAGAUCAAUAAAAACAUCUCUCGGUUAAACUGUAGAAAACAUGCUGUCAUAAACAGAUAGUUAAGGGUUAAUGUCUCUUUUACCUGUAAAGGGUUAAGAAGCUCAGUAAACCUGGCUGACACCUGACCAGAGGACCAAUAAGGGGACAAGAUACUUUCAAAUCUUGGUGGAGGGAAGUCUUUUGUUUGUGCUCUUUGUUUGGGGGUUGUUCGCUCUUGGGACUGAGAGGGAUCAGACAUCAAUCCACGCUCUCCAAAUCUUUCUGAAUCAGUCUCUUAUGUCUCAAACUUGUAAGUAAAAGCCAGGCAAGGCGUGUUAGUCUUAUUUUUGUUUUCUCAACUUGUAAAUGUUCCUCUUUGCUGAGA
Mauremys reevesii (Reeves's turtle) is the source of this 824-nucleotide long non-coding RNA. RefSeq lists it as uncharacterized. The record is from RefSeq and is a predicted model, not a curated record. NCBI's taxonomy places the organism in Eukaryota, Metazoa, Chordata, Testudines, Geoemydidae. The transcript has 3 exons.